Long non-coding RNA from Bombus huntii, 447 nucleotides. RefSeq lists it as uncharacterized. NCBI's taxonomy places the organism in Eukaryota, Metazoa, Arthropoda, Insecta, Hymenoptera, Apidae. The record is from RefSeq and is a predicted model, not a curated record. The transcript is spliced from 3 exons.
CGACAUAUUUACACUUCGAAAUUUUUACUUCGGCUAAUGUUCUUUUCUGUUGAACGUCAAAGAGCGUUACUUGAUCAGCAUCACGUAAAAGGAGCAUUCCAGUACCAGCGUAAAAUAUUUCGUCACAGUUUGGGAUCUGCACCUUUUUUAAGAUAACGUUUCACCCUGAAUACAUACCGAAUACGCCCUAUCUAACACCGCAAAACGAUUUCUGGCAACCCAGAUGGCAGUGACACCCGAAGCCCGCUUCGCAUCGGCAUCAGUGUUUGGAUCACCUUCGCGCGGUAUCAAAUAUAGAUCAAACAAUCAGAGGCAAUGUUGGAUGGAAGCAUGCCCAAUUAACACCUCUAUCAUGUGCGUCCAGGAUAUGUCUUACAACAGCAUCUGCUUGACCAAAUAAAUCUGUGGCUCCAGGAUUUUUUAAAUGAUCUUCCAAGCCUCCUGGAC